This 1504-nucleotide unclassified non-coding RNA is filed under the name Hevea brasiliensis (rubber tree). Lineage: Eukaryota; Viridiplantae; Streptophyta; Magnoliopsida; Malpighiales; Euphorbiaceae. The record is from RNAcentral.
GCCACCUUUUUUAUUGACUAAAAAGACAAUGGUUGCUUGAAUUUCUAGUGUUACAAUAAUCAUUUGCUCAAACUACUUUUGAGUUCUCCCAAAGUCAAACCCAAAAUGUAAUACAUAAACCACUCAACACCAAUCAAAAUAUAUAUAUCAUAUAUACUUCUUUGCCUUCCAUUAGACAUUAGUAUAGUACACAUGCAUAAGAUAAUGCCACUAGUAGUAAACAAACCAAAAGUAAGAUAAAAUAGAGCUCCCACCUUCUUUGCUUCAUUAAUACAACCAAAUUUAACUCAUAAAAUCCACCGUAUUUCAUCAAAAUACAUGUCUUAGAGGACUCGACGAUGGGUCCUUACACUCAAGAGAGUCACAUCAUCGACCACAGGGCCACACAGGGAAACAAAAUCAUCACUCCUCGUGUGAUAGUAGGUGCUAAGGAACAUGAUCCUAGUCCGGCUAGCAGUGGCCUUGAAACGGAGGAUAGCACGCUUAUAUCCACCUUUUCCCAUAGACUCAUAUGGGACUUUAAGUGUAUCCCUUCCAGCAAAGGCCUCAACAAUCAUAGAACCUUCACAAGCAUUACUUGCAUCUCCAACUUUGAAACUAAGUUGGUACAUUUUGCCAAUUGUGGUUCUUGCAACUUGAGCAAUGGCACUUUCUUUACCAGCAACUAACUCUAUGGCUCUCUUGCCAUGUGGUACUGAAAAAUGGUCAGAGUCUAAGUAUUUUACUGCCUUUAGGGACUCAACCAUCCAUGCUGGCAAUGGGGAAUGGUCAUCUUCAAUGUUUGGUGGUACAAGUACUCCCCAACUUGUGUUUGGGAAUACGUAUGGACCCUCUUCAAAAUCUCCAUUUUUCAACAAAUUCUGAUUAGUGGCCCUAGGAGGAUAUAAAGUACGAAUGGCGAUCGAAUCGAUGAGAGGACCACAAGCAGGAUCUUCCUCAACACCUGGAUUAUGAAGCAAGAUCUCAACUUGGGGAAAUUCAGCUUGAAAUGCCCAAGCAUAUGAGUCCCAACCACUGCUACUAUACAAUGUUUGGAUAGGCAGGACUCCGAAAUCAGGUGUAACAGAUACGUUGAUACGUUCUUCUUGAGCACAAGUUCUAGCAGCACUGAACGUUAAGGAAUAGUACAUUCCUUUUGUAACGUUUAGUAUUUGCUUGAUCGAUGCUUCGUUACCUAGACGUACCGCGGCGUAGCCCUCGGGUACGACUAGAAGCAUAUCACCUUGUUUUUGGCCAGCUUUUAUGUACUCUACGAACCCGGAAAUUGACCAUUCCGGUAUGGCGUUGUGCUUUAGAACCUCCGUGCCGUUUAAGUCCGCUUUCGAUGGGGGCAUUUCGAAGUUUCCAUUCUUUAACAAUCCAUCAAUAACAGCAAUGGAAAUGCUGGAAAUGGCGCACAAUAGCACGAGCAGCAAUAGUACUUUUAUUGAGCUCUUCAUUAUUAGUACUACUAUUUUUCCCCAGUGGUAAAUAAGAGGGAGAAAUGGGUGAAAGAGGAAGAAGA